CCUACGGGAGGCAGCAGUGAGGAAUAUUGGUCAAUGGACGAGAGUCUGAACCAGCCAAGUCGCGUGAAGGAUGAAUGCCCUAUGGGUUGUAAACUUCUUUUAUAAAGGAAUAAAACGAGGCACGUGAGCCUUAUCGCAUGUACUUUAUGAAUAAGGAUCGGCUAACUCCGUGCCAGCAGCCGCGGUAAUACGGAGGAUCCGAGCGUUAUCCGGAUUUAUUGGGUUUAAAGGGAGCGUAGAUGGGUCGUUAAGUCAGGUGUGAAAGUUUGCGGCUCAACCGUACAAUUGCAAUUGAUACUGGCAGUCUUGAGUACAGUUGAGGUAGGCGGAAUUCGUGGUGUAGCGGUGAAAUGCUUAGAUAUCACGAAGAACCCCGAUUGCGAAGGCAGCUUACUAAACUGUGACUGACGCUGAUGCUCGAAAGCGUGGGUAUCAAACAGGAUUAGAUACCCUAGUAGUC
This 460-nucleotide ribosomal RNA is filed under the name uncultured bacterium. RNAcentral describes it as "partial 16S ribosomal RNA". It matches the Rfam family "Bacterial small subunit ribosomal RNA", at positions 338 to 795 of the family's 1533-position model. The record is from RNAcentral.